GAUCCUGGCUCAGGAUGAACGCUAGCGACAGGCUAACACAUGCAAGUCGAGGGGCAGCAUAAAAGUAGCAAUACUUGGUGGCGACCGGCGCACGGGUGAGUAACGCGUAUGCAACCUACCUAUCAGAGGGGAAUAACCCGGCGAAAGUCGGACUAAUACCGCAUAAAACAGGGGCACCGCAUGGUGAUAUUUGUUAAAGAAAUUCGCUGAUAGAUGGGCAUGCGUUCCAUUAGGUAGUUGGUGAGGUAACGGCUCACCAAGCCGACGAUGGAUAGGGGAACUGAGAGGUUGGUCCCCCACACUGGUACUGAGACACGGACCAGACUCCUACGGGAGGCAGCAGUGAGGAAUAUUGGUCAAUGGGCGGGAGCCUGAACCAGCCAAGUCGCGUGAAGGAAGAAGGAUCUAUGGUUCGUAAACUUCUUUUGCAGGGGAAUAAAGUGCAGGACGUGUCCUGUUUUGUAUGUACCCUGAGAAUAAGGAUCGGCUAACUCCGUGCCAGCCGCCGC
This 509-nucleotide ribosomal RNA is filed under the name uncultured bacterium. RNAcentral's name for it is "bacterial SSU rRNA". It matches the Rfam family "Bacterial small subunit ribosomal RNA", at positions 15 to 518 of the family's 1533-position model. The record is from RNAcentral.